UACGUAGGGGGCGAGCGUUGUCCGGAGUUACUGGGCGUAAAGGGCAUGCAGGCGGUCGGACGCGUUUCGGGUGACAGCGGGUGGCUUAACUACCCGAGUGGUCGAAAGACGGUUUGACUUGAGGACGCGAGAGGGACACGGAAUUCCGGGUGGAGUGGUGAAAUGCGCAGAUAUCAGGAGGAACACCGGUGGCGAAGGCGGGUCUCUGGGCAACAACUGACGCUGAGGAGCGAAAGCGUGGGGAGCGAACAGG
This 253-nucleotide ribosomal RNA is filed under the name uncultured bacterium. RNAcentral describes it as "partial 16S ribosomal RNA". It matches the Rfam family "Bacterial small subunit ribosomal RNA", at positions 524 to 776 of the family's 1533-position model. The record is from RNAcentral.